This is a long non-coding RNA of Megalobrama amblycephala (Wuchang bream), 1699 nucleotides long. RefSeq lists it as uncharacterized. NCBI's taxonomy places the organism in Eukaryota, Metazoa, Chordata, Actinopteri, Cypriniformes, Xenocyprididae. The record is from RefSeq and is a predicted model, not a curated record. The transcript has 6 exons.
UAACAAUAAUAAUAAUGCACCUUAAACGCUUGAUUCUGACAAACUGUUGAAUUUUAUGCUGUUGCAUGUGUGUGUUCUGUAUCAUCUUAAAUACAUAUCCUUUCCCCCGUACACAGAAUCCUCUGUUCUUAAAUACAUAUUCUUUCCCCCGUACACAGUUUGUUAGUGCAUUGGCAAUCAGCACAGACAGGCCUGUACAGGUGUUUGGGAGAUGACCGUGUCAGAAGUUAACAGGAUUUCACCCUGCUAUGGAAACCAGAGAUAGAAAUCGGAAAAUGUUUAUGUGAUAUUGCAUCCAGAGUGACAAGUGUCAAUAGUUUCUGGAUGGAGGUGAGGCAGGGCCCAGUGAACCUAGGGAAGACAAGCAGGGGAGGAACAUGCCAGGCCAUGUAGAAUCACAUCCUGAAGACCCUUAUAUUACGAAAGAUUGAAAAAGCGGAAUGGUUUGAGGAUUUUUUUAAUGACCCUACAAGUUCAAUUAAACCAUCAAAAUAUGAGGGUUCUGUUUUACUGAGCCCUCAUUCUCUGAAAUACACACUGUGGGAGUGAAGAGGCAUGACCGCACCAGCAAUUACUGACUCCGCACCUCUGACUCUUUAAUUUGUUCCUCACGGACUUGCCUGCAGCCAAUACGCAAAAUCAAUAGUCUCUCCUCCAGAAGAACUACUGCCAACAGCUCCACUGACACAUGAAGAUACAUGUUCUUACAUGAGUCUUUACUCUUCUGCAAAUCCGCUAAGUGGCUGUCUGUCAACACGAGGGCCGGACUGUGAAAUGCCGGUGAGGAAGCAGCCUGCAGACUGUUUGCACUGAUGUCACAGAGAGGUAUGAUGACGUGUGUGCACCAACAGUGCAGUUAGGUCUGUCAGUGCGCAUCCAUCACGGACAUGGCCGGUCACUGGCCUCUCUCCAUCCCCACAGCUGAGACCAAUGUGGACAGACAGUUGGAGCCCCUUGUAUUUAAAGCUAAGAAGUUCAGACAGAUGACACCCCUCAGGGAGGGCUGCAAAUGUGUGUCCCCUCCCCUGCACUUUAUGAAAUUCUCAGAGUGAGGCGAGAGAUCCUGGUUAUUGCCUGUCACCGUUUCGAUUCGGUUGUUGGUUGUUACUGGUCAUCCAAGAGUCUAUUGAAUAUCAGCUAUGUUCUCUGGUUGUGUCUCUCCUGGAGCUCUUCAAAUGAGAUGUAAAGGGAGAAAAUAACGCUCAGUCUCAUUCUGGUUGCCAUUUAGCCUAAUGCUGAGAGACACUUCGAACAAGUCGAAACAUAACCCGUGGACCACAAGCCACAAAUUCUAAAUCAUUGAUGAGAUGCUCCUCUUAGCUAUACACUCUGGCCGCCCCGUCAAUCUUCUUCGCCAAUUAUGCUCCACCAUCCUUUAUGUUUUUCAAGGAAGAGGUUGUGUUUUUGCUGUGACCUUCUCUUUAUGCUGGAUUCACGCUUGAAGCGUCCAAUGAUAUUGUUCUUUUCAGUCACAUCAGAAUGAUCGCUGUCAUAUUGCAUCUUAUUUGAUUGCCUUCCACCAAGAUUAACUACAUGGAUGAAAAGCAUACCUCUGUCAACUGUGCUCAUUGAGAAUGCCCAGAGGAUCAUUUUAUUCCUCACAGGUUGCUCUUACAUAGCUCUAGAGACUUAGUGGAGUUCCCAGUUAUGUUUCAUUGAAGCAUCAACUUUGUUUCACAUAUUUUUUAUCUAAAAUUGA